CACUGCCGAGAAAAGCCUCUAGAUAGAAAAUAGGUGCCCGUACCGCAAACCGACACAGGUAGUCAAGAUGAGAAUUCUAAGGUGAGCGAGCGAACUCUCGUUAAGGAACUCGGCAAAAUGACCCCGUAACUUCGGGAGAAGGGGUGCUCUUUAGGGUUAACGCCCAGAAGAGCCGCAGUGAAUAGGCCCAAGCGACUGUUUAUCAAAAACACAGGUCUCUGCUAAACCGUAAGGUGAUG
RNAcentral lists this ribosomal RNA (239 nucleotides) under Staphylococcus aureus. Its description in RNAcentral is "partial 23S ribosomal RNA". It matches the Rfam family "Bacterial large subunit ribosomal RNA", at positions 1603 to 1843 of the family's 2925-position model. The record is from RNAcentral. Lineage: Bacteria; Bacillati; Bacillota; Bacilli; Caryophanales; Staphylococcaceae.